AACAAGGUUUUGUACAUUGUAAAUGGCACAAGAGAAUGUGUGGAGUGAGUUUAUGUUUAGCAUGUUUAGGGAUUUAAACAGAGGGGCCUGUGUGUUGUCUGAAAACAGAGUUUGUUAAUGUUCUGAUAGCAGGUUUUUGCACAUAGGCUCAAUCACUAGGGCUGUAAGAGGAGAUGCAAGCAGAAGGGUGGUGUGUAGUGCAGCAGUAUUGGGGACAGGGAGAAGCAUGAUGGCAGCUAGUCAGACUGGUCAGGGCAAGAAGGAGCUAUUGUUUAGUCUGCAUUAUCCUGGAGGCAGAAAAAGAGUUUGCAGAGCAUGCUGCAGCAGAGAAGAUUUUGAAGGCAGCCUUAUAUCUUGAAGACCGAAACAAGGCAGAGACAUUCCAGCGAGGAGGAACAAGUCAUUCACUUACUAUUAUAUCUUUAAGUCUACAAUCAAAUGAUUCCAACAGGCUUGCAUCUGCCUUAGAAUCUCGAGUUGGCCACCAUACUAAUAUGCGCUACCCUUCGUUCCAAGGAUGUCCUUGCGACUACUAUACAACUGAUGAUGCUAACUAUAUGCUGAGCACGACGGAAGAGUUAAUGCAAUUGCUUAGACCUCAUUUUGUAAGUUAGCAAAGUAAUUUUUUAAAUGCAAUACAAUCUUGCUGUUGGGUGAACUGAGAACCGUGAUGAAGAAGAAAAAAUAUGAUAAAAAGAUACUCUAUUGAGAAUAACGUUUGGCAUUUAAAUGUUUUCUUGAUCAGAGAUAACAUAGCCACAUAGUCCUUACAUGCAAAAUGUCAUUGCCAAUAAAGUUGAUUCUUGAUCGUUUCUCACAAUUAAAAUCCAACAGUAACAUAAAUGUGAAAAAUAACUAUUCAGUAUAACAGUAUUAUAUUAAUUUCCAUUUAAUGAAUGGUACAAUCAUACAAUGAAUUAGUAAUCAUUUAAAGCAAUUGCACUGAAGUAAGAGUACUGUACAGUGAUGUCUACAUUAUCUGGCAUCUGGUAUCAGUGUGUUACCAGAUGCACUUCUGUUUCACUAAGACAAGACACACCUUUAUCUUAUUUUACUAGCAAUGAACACAUGAAACAGGCGAAUAGAAAUAUGUGAGUAAUCUUAAUUCUAAACACAUUUGAGGUUAUUUGUACAAAAUCACAAGGAAUAUAAUGUUACAAUGUAAACAAUUUAAUUGUUACAUUUUUGUAUGUUUUUCAUUACUGCAAAUCUUAAUUAUUAGAACUUACCUCAUUUAUAUUCACUCAUAAUUUGGAUAAUUGAUGCAAGAGUGAUCAUAACCAGAGUGUACUCUGGUUGUAACUGGACUUGGUGUACUCCGGUUGUAACUGGACUUGGUGUACUCUGGUUGUAAUUGGACUUGAUGUACUCCAGUUGUAACUGAACUUUGUGUACUCCAGUUGUAACUGGACUUUGUAUACUCUGGUUUUAACUGAUCUUGGUGUACUCUGGUUGUAACUGGACUUUGUAUACUCUGGUUUUAACUGAUCUUGGUGUACUCUGGUUGUAACUGGACUUUGUGAACUCUGGUUGUAACUGAACUUGGUGUAUACCUAUUGCAACUGCACUUAUAUUCCCGUUACAAGUGGACUAGGUGUAUUAUUGCAACUGAACAUGACACAUUCCUGUUGCGGUUGUAUUUGGCAUAAUCCUGUUGCAACUUUAAACAAUGGCCUGUUUCAGAUAACAUACAAGGGGUAUUUAUGAGGUUGAGAGACUUACCAAAUGACUUUAAAAUUUCAAUAAUGUAUUUACAAUUUUGAAUCUUAUAAAUAUGACUAAGGACAAAUUCUUUGAAAAAAAAAAAAUUCAGGAUUGAUAAUCAUAAUUUAAUUCCUGAGCAACUUCCAAUAUUUGAAGUGAUGAAUUCUUUCAUUAUAAGGUUAUUAUGGCUAUCCUGAUAAUUUAAAAAUUUUGUUGAAUUUUCAUCACUAUUUUAAGUAAGUUAAGAACACCACUGGGUAUUGUCUCGAUCUCAUUUUCUUUUCAAUAUAAAAUGUAACAACAGAGCAAAACUUCACAGUCAUUUUGAUUACACAACAAUUAUUCUCUGCCAAUUAAACAAUUAUGUAAGCAAAUCCAGGCAAGUACAACUAGUUGAGUGCACCACCUACCAGCAAGCUUGGCACUUGCUGCAAUAUCUACCUAAAUAACUUCUAUAUUCUUCAUCUCACUACUUCUCACCACUUACACCACUGUACCUACUCUUCUCAUGCAAUGCUGCUUUGUUAAUAUAAACAUGCCCGAAAUUAAUUAAAUAAUGCCCGAAACUUAAUUAAUUAAGUUAGAAAUUAAUGCCCGAAACGCUUUGCGUAAUAGUGGCUUUAGGCAUUGUAUGUACUAGCUCUACCUAUAAGUCAACCAAUCCUUGUAAAAAUUUAUUGUAUGUAUGUACCUUACCUAAAUAAAAUUGUAUUGUAUUGUAUUACAUGUGUGAGUUAUAGUAGCAAAUGAAGACAUUUAUAUUUUUCUUAAUAUGGUAUAAAACAGGUGUUAAAUUGUUGUAAAUUCAUAAAAAUGCAUUAA
This is a non-coding RNA of Procambarus clarkii (red swamp crayfish), 2526 nucleotides long. NCBI's taxonomy places the organism in Eukaryota, Metazoa, Arthropoda, Malacostraca, Decapoda, Cambaridae. The record is from RefSeq and is a predicted model, not a curated record.